This 71-nucleotide non-coding RNA is filed under the name chicken gut metagenome. RNAcentral's name for it is "Cyclic di-GMP-I riboswitch". It matches the Rfam family "c-di-GMP-I riboswitch aptamer", at positions 11 to 83 of the family's 87-position model. From Rfam's summary of the family: GEMM was predicted in a large-scale screen for bacterial structured RNA regulatory elements. Genes associated with GEMM are involved in a diverse array of functions, including chemotaxis regulation, signal transduction, secretion and chitin. The record is from RNAcentral.
UUGGCAAACUUGGCGAAAGCUAAGGACGCAAAGCAAAGAGGCUAAAGCAUAUGCUACGCUCGUCUGGCUGC